UUAGUUAAUGCAAGAUCGACUACGCCGACUGAAGUUCGCGGUAGAAUAAUGAUGUUGACAGUUUUUUACCUAUAUGUCUUGACCAAGUCUCGUGCCAGCAGUCGCGGUAAUACGUGGAAGACUAGUGUUAUUCAUCUUUAUUAGGUUUAAAGGGUACCUAGACGGUAUUUCUAGCCCAAAAUAGGGUACGGAUUUACUAGAGUUUUAUGUGAGGAGGGGAGUACUCAUAGAGUAGAGAUGAAAUUUUGUUAUACUAUGAGGUAACUGGUGGCGGCGAAAGCAACCUUCUAUGUAUAAACUGACGUUGAGGGACGAAGGCUUGGGUAGCAAAUAGGAUUAGAUACCCUAGUAGUCCAAGCAGACAAUUCUGAAUGCCAUAGAUUAGAUUAUUUUUGGUCUAUAAAUGAAAGUGUAAGCAUUCCACCUUAGGAGUAAUGUGGCAACACAGGAACUGAAAUCAUUAGACCGUUUCUGAAACCAGUAGUGAAGUAUGUUAUUUAAAUUGAUGGUCCACAAAAAACCUUACCACAACUUGAAUAUUUUUAAUUAAUACAAGCGUUGCACGGCUGUCUUCAGUUAAUGUCGUGAGAUUUUGGUUAACUCCAUUAAUUAACGUAAACCCUUACUUUA
RNAcentral lists this ribosomal RNA (630 nucleotides) under Acarospora veronensis. RNAcentral's name for it is "SSU rRNA". It matches the Rfam family "Bacterial small subunit ribosomal RNA", at positions 434 to 1113 of the family's 1533-position model. The record is from RNAcentral. Lineage: Eukaryota; Fungi; Ascomycota; Lecanoromycetes; Acarosporales; Acarosporaceae.